This 460-nucleotide ribosomal RNA is filed under the name uncultured bacterium. Its description in RNAcentral is "partial 16S ribosomal RNA". It matches the Rfam family "Bacterial small subunit ribosomal RNA", at positions 338 to 795 of the family's 1533-position model. The record is from RNAcentral.
CCUACGGGUGGCAGCAGUGAGGAAUAUUGGUCAAUGGACGAGAGUCUGAACCAGCCAAGUAGCGUGAAGGAUGACGGCCCUAUGGGUUGUAAACUUCUUUUAUAAAGGAAUAAAGCGAGGCACGUGUGCCUGUUUGCAUGUACUUUAUGAAUAAGGAUCGGCUAACUCCGUGCCAGCAGCCGCGGUAAUACGGAGGAUCCGAGCGUUAUCCGGAUUUAUUGGGUUUAAAGGGAGCGUAGAUGGGUUGUUAAGUCAGUUGUGAAAGUUUGCGGCUCAACCGUAAAAUUGCAAUUGAUACUGGCAGUCUUGAGUACAGUUGAGGUAGGCGGAAUUCGUGGUGUAGCGGUGAAAUGCUUAGAUAUCACGAAGAACCCCGAUUGCGAAGGCAGCUUACUAAACUGUGACUGACAUUGAUGCUCGAAAGUGUGGGUAUCAAACAGGAUUAGAUACCCUUGUAGUC